CAGUAGCCGCGGGAAUACGUAGGGUGCGAGCGUUAAUCGGAAUUACUGGGCGUAAAGGGCUCGCAGGCGGUUUCUUAAGUCUGAUGUGAAAGCCCCCGGCUCAACCGGGGAGGGUCAUUGGAAACUGGGAAACUUGAGUGCAGAAGAGGAGAGUGGAAUUCCACGUGUAGCGGUGAAAUGCGUAGAGAUGUGGAGGAACACCAGUGGCGAAGGCGACUCUCUGGUCUGUAACUGACACUGAGAGACGAAAGCUAGGGGAGAAAAUGGGAUUAGAUACCCCGGUAGUCCCUGUCUCUUAUAC
This 301-nucleotide ribosomal RNA is filed under the name uncultured bacterium. Its description in RNAcentral is "partial 16S ribosomal RNA". It matches the Rfam family "Bacterial small subunit ribosomal RNA", at positions 509 to 807 of the family's 1533-position model. The record is from RNAcentral.